Molecule: ribosomal RNA, 290 nt
Filed under: uncultured bacterium
Lineage: Bacteria
Description: partial 16S ribosomal RNA
Source: RNAcentral
GGACUACAAGGGUAUCUAAUCCUUUUUGCUCCCCAUACUUUAGUAUCUCAGUGUCAGUGUUUAAUUAGAUAGAUGCCUUCGCCUUUAGUGUGUCUACCAAGUAUAAAAAGAUUUCAUCCUUACUCCUAGUAUUCCUCUAUCUUCAAUUACACUCUAGUAUCUCAAUUACAUUUUAUAAUUUUUCUAUUGAAAUCUCAUAACUACUGUUUGAUGAUACAACCUACAUACGCUUUAGACCCAUUUAUGUUGAAGAACGUUAACCCCUCUCGUAUUACCGCGGCGGCUGGCAC